RNAcentral lists this ribosomal RNA (253 nucleotides) under uncultured bacterium. RNAcentral describes it as "partial 16S ribosomal RNA". It matches the Rfam family "Bacterial small subunit ribosomal RNA", at positions 524 to 776 of the family's 1533-position model. The record is from RNAcentral.
UACGGGGGGGGCAAGCGUUGUUCGGAAUUACUGGGCGUAAAGGGCUCGUAGGCGGCCAACUAAGUCAGACGUGAAAUCCCUCGGCUUAACCGGGGAACUGCGUCUGAUACUGGAUGGCUUGAGUGUGGGAGAGGAAUGCGGAAUUCCAGGUGUAGCGGUGAAAUGCGUAGAUAUCUGGAGGAACACCGGUGGCGAAGGCGGCGUUCUGGACUGUUUCUGACACUGAAAAACGAAAGCCAGGGGAGCAAACGGG